Molecule: long non-coding RNA, 732 nt
Organism: Mesocricetus auratus (golden hamster)
Lineage: Eukaryota; Metazoa; Chordata; Mammalia; Rodentia; Cricetidae
Exons: 4
Source: RefSeq, a predicted model, not a curated record
CUAGAUUGGUGAUGGAGGUGAGAAGAGCCAGCCUGAAUGUGGGCAGCACCAUUUCAAGAGCCAGGCCCUGGUCUGCAUCACAGCGGAGCAAGCAGCUCGGCAAGCGACGAUGUGGUUGUUCUCUUUGCCCUGGACUGCGCCUGUGAGGCGACUAGCUGCGGCGUCUGGCACGGCGUGAGGGAAUGCAUGGAGUGAAGCUGCGGUGGCUUCACUGUGAAUUCCAUCAAGAGUUCCAGGGCAUAUAAUCAACCUGACUAUCCUCCUGAGUCCCACGGAGAAGGAAGCAGCGUCUCCUCCCAAGAUGGUUCCUCCUUCCUCAGUGGACCUGCUCUCAGGGGACGCCUCCUCUGCUGCCAGUCUCUGCACAAACAUGGCCCAUUUCCUGUCUUGUCCCCAUAAAUGCUCACCCGGCUGCCUGACCCUAAACAGAGCAGAUUAUGUUAUGGCUCUGAAUACAGCCAAUCGUGUCUGAUCUUGGGGGCUAGGCAGCAUCAGGCCUGGUUAGUGCACGGAUGGGAGAGUGCUCCCGAGUCUGUGGCAUUGUGUCGUGGUUGAGUUUCCUGGGAAGCUUCAAGUCAGCAACGGAUUACAUUCCUGUAUCCAUCUGAAAAGCCAGCAGGUUUCUCCAGGGACUACCGUGGAGGUUAGAGUCCAACUGAACCCGAUUAACCCAGAGUGACAGGCGAUACCCUAUGUAUGCUCAGCACAAUGAGACAUUAAAAUAACUUCAGA